UCAGAUUGAACGCUGGCGGCAUGCCUUACACAUGCAAGUCGAACGGCAGCACGGGGCAACCUGGUGGCGAGUGGCGAACGGGUGAGUAAUGCAUCGGAACGUGCCAUUGAUGGGGGAUAACGUAGCGAAAGUUGCGCUAAUACCGCAUAUUCUGUGAGCAGGAAAGCAGGGGACCGCAAGGCCUUGCGCUCUUUGAGCGGCCGAUGUCAGAUUAGCUAGUUGGUGAGGUAACGGCUUACCAAGGCGACGAUCUGUAGCGGGUCUGAGAGGAUGAUCCGCCACACUGGAACUGAGACACGGUCCAGACUCCUACGGGAGGCAGCAGUGGGGAAUUUUGGACAAUGGGCGCAAGCCUGAUCCAGCCAUGCCGCGUGAGUGAAGAAGGCCUUCGGGUUGUAAAGCUCUUUCGGCCGGGAAGAAAUCGCAUGGGUUAAUACCCUGUGUGGAUGGCGGUACCGGAAUAAGAAGCACCGGCUAACUACGUG
RNAcentral lists this ribosomal RNA (485 nucleotides) under uncultured bacterium. RNAcentral's name for it is "bacterial SSU rRNA". It matches the Rfam family "Bacterial small subunit ribosomal RNA", at positions 24 to 507 of the family's 1533-position model. The record is from RNAcentral.